GUGAUGGAAACUUCCUCUCUUAAUUCCAUCUUAAUAUUUUUCAUAAGAUAAAUAAGAAUUGAGCACACAUGGGAUGGUUUACCUGUGAGUCGUGAUCCGGUAACGAUUGCAAUGAAGUCAUAAAACAUAGGACUGCUAAUGCCACUUAGUGUUCCCUUCUUUAAUGAUCCUCCAGGACCAGUUGGAGUGCCAGGGAAACCCUUAAGAAAACUGUGUGACUAUGAGGUUGUAGAAGCAUUUUUCUUGAGUGACAGGGCUGAACAGGAUCUAGAAGUUGAACUCUGUAAGUGUAGCUUGCUUAAAAAGUCAUGAAUGCUGUUCUGCAUUUCUUGUUCUAAUGUUGUAAAAGGUGUAUGAGGAAGGGUGUGGGUACAGAAAUGCCUUUAGUAUGGGGGAUGUACAUCUUUGUGGCAGAUAAAUGCAAUAAUAACUUGGCAUCUUGUUAUGAAAAUUGUGGCUCUGAUUUUUGAAAGUCAUAGACAACACUCUUGCUGCUUUCUGGCAAAAGAAGAGUGUGGAAAGUAACUGGUCAAGUCCAUUCAUAAUGUACAGAACCUAACUGUUUUUAGAUACCUGUUGAUUGAUUAGGAGAUAAAUAGCUUCCCCCCCCUCCCCCCCACCCAUUUAACAGGAACAACUUCCCUUAGAAUUCAGUGUGACCAAAACAGAAACAAAACGGGCGGGAAGAGCUCAUCUCCCCUGGAGUUAUUGCCCACUGUGCACUUCCAAGUUCAAUGCAUUUGCAAUUUACGGCUCAAGAGAACAGAGAAAAUAUGAAGUGCUUUUUGCUGUGCCUCAACACAAACUUUGUGAAGGACAGAAACCAGAUUUGUAAGCAUAAAAUUAGUUGUUCUGUAGUAUAUUUGCACUCUUAUUGGAAUACUUGUAGAAGAAACCAAUCUGAGUGCCACUGGUGUUUUAAUUAUACUGUUUAGCCCUAGAUCCACUGUACUUUGUGUAAAGAACUGUCAGAUAGCUGUAAUUAGUGCUUGAUUUCAGUGUUAUUCCCUAGGUGCAUAGCAAAUGAUGCAUUCAACAUAAUUUGCAUCUGUUAUCACCUUCCUUAGCUAAAUCACAGAUGGCUUGUUCUGUUUUUUCCUUGCCUAUAGCACCUCUUGAAUUGCUAUUUAGUGUUAAUCAUACUAGAGUAAUAUGCAGUGGAUCUCUUUUGCUUCUUUCAAAGCAACUUCACCUUUCA
RNAcentral lists this long non-coding RNA (1198 nucleotides) under Gallus gallus (chicken). Its description in RNAcentral is "long non-coding RNA NONGGAT008946". The record is from RNAcentral. Lineage: Eukaryota; Metazoa; Chordata; Aves; Galliformes; Phasianidae.